This 492-nucleotide ribosomal RNA is filed under the name uncultured bacterium. Its description in RNAcentral is "partial 16S ribosomal RNA". It matches the Rfam family "Bacterial small subunit ribosomal RNA", at positions 29 to 507 of the family's 1533-position model. The record is from RNAcentral.
AGUGAACGCUGGCGGUAGGCCUAACACAUGCAGGUCGAACGGCAGCACAGUAAGAGCUUGCUCUUACGGGUGGCGAGUGGCGGACGGGUGAGGAAUACAUCGGAAUCUACUUUUUCGUGGGGGAUAACGUAGGGAAACUUACGCUAAUACCGCAUACGACCUACGGGUGAAAGCAGGGGAUCUUCGGACCUUGCGCGAUUGAAUGAGCCGAUGUCGGAUUGGCUAGUUGGCGGGGUAAAGGCCCACCAAGGCGACGAUCCGUAGCUGGUCUGAGAGGAUGAUCAGCCACACUGGAACUGAGACACGGUCCAGACUCCUACGGGAGGCAGCAGUGGGGAAUAUUGGACAAUGGGCGCAAGCCUGAUCCAGCCAUACCGCGUGGGUGAAGAAGGCCUUCGGGUUGUAAAGCCCUUUUGUUGGGAAAGAAAAGCAGCAGGUUAAUACCCCGCUGUUCUGACGGUACCCAAAGAAUAAGCACCGGCUAACUUCGUG